GUAGGUGGCAAGCGUUGUCCGGAUUUACUGGGGCGUAAAGGAUGUGUAGGCGGAUACUUAAGUGAGAUGUGAAAGCCCCCGGGGCUUAACCUGGGGGGGACUGCAUCUCAAACUGGGUAUCUAGAGUGCAGGAGAGGAAAGCGGAAUUCCUAGUGUAGCGGUGAAAUGCGUAGAGAUUAGGAAGAACAUCAGUGGCGAAGGCGGCUUUCUGGACUGUAACUGACGCUGAGGCAUGAAAGCGUGGGGAGCAAACAGGAUUAGAUACCCUGGUAGUCCACGCCGUAAGCGAUGAGUACUAGGUGUAGGAGGUAUCGACUCCUUCUGUGCCGCAGUUAACACAAUAAGUACUCCGCCUGGGAAGUACGGUCGCAAAGAUUAA
This 379-nucleotide ribosomal RNA is filed under the name uncultured organism. Its description in RNAcentral is "partial 16S ribosomal RNA". It matches the Rfam family "Bacterial small subunit ribosomal RNA", at positions 527 to 897 of the family's 1533-position model. The record is from RNAcentral.